This 2395-nucleotide ribosomal RNA is filed under the name Listeria monocytogenes. RNAcentral describes it as "partial 23S ribosomal RNA". It matches the Rfam family "Bacterial large subunit ribosomal RNA", at positions 533 to 2925 of the family's 2925-position model. Lineage: Bacteria; Bacillati; Bacillota; Bacilli; Caryophanales; Listeriaceae. The record is from RNAcentral.
GGGGAGUGAAACAGUUCCUGAAACCGUGUGCCUACAAGUAGUUAGAGCCCGUUAAUGGGUGAUAGCGUGCCUUUUGUAGAAUGAACCGGCGAGUUACGAUUUGUUGCAAGGUUAAGCGGAAAAAGCGGAGCCGUAGCGAAAGCGAGUCUGAAUAGGGCGCAUAAGUAACAGGUCGUAGACCCGAAACCAGGUGAUCUACCCAUGUCCAGGAUGAAGGUAAGGUAAUACUUACUGGAGGUCCGAACCCACGCACGUUGAAAAGUGCGGGGAUGAGGUGUGGGUAGCGGAGAAAUUCCAAUCGAACUUGGAGAUAGCUGGUUCUCUCCGAAAUAGCUUUAGGGCUAGCCUCGAGGUAAAGAGUCAUGGAGGUAGAGCACUGUUUGGACUAGGGGCCCUUCUCGGGUUACCGAAUUCAGAUAAACUCCGAAUGCCAUGUACUUAUACUCGGGAGUCAGACUGCGAGUGAUAAGAUCCGUAGUCGAAAGGGAAACAGCCCAGACCACCAGUUAAGGUCCCCAAAUAUAUGUUAAGUGGAAAAGGAUGUGGGGUUGCUUAGACAACCAGGAUGUUGGCUUAGAAGCAGCCACCAUUGAAAGAGUGCGUAAUAGCUCACUGGUCGAGUGACCCCGCGCCGAAAAUGUACCGGGGCUAAACAUAUUACCGAAACUGUGGAUGAACCUCUUUAGAGGUUCGUGGUAGGAGAGCGUUCUAAGGGCGGUGAAGUCAGACCGGAAGGACUGGUGGAGCGCUUAGAAGUGAGAAUGCCGGUAUGAGUAGCGAAAGAAGGGUGAGAAUCCCUUCCACCGAAUAUCUAAGGUUUCCUGAGGAAGGCUCGUCCGCUCAGGGUUAGUCGGGACCUAAGCCGAGGCCGAUAGGCGUAGGCGAUGGACAACAGGUAGAGAUUCCUGUACCAGUGCUAAUUGUUUAACCGAUGGGGUGACACAGAAGGAUAGGGAAUCGCACGAAUGGAAAUGUGCGUCCAAGCAGUGAGUGUGAGAAGUAGGCAAAUCCGCUUCUCGCGAAGCAUGAGCUGUGAUGGGGAAGGAAAUUAAGUACGGAAGUUCCUGAUUUCACGCUGUCAAGAAAAGCCUCUAGGAAGAGUAGUACUGCCCGUACCGCAAACCGACACAGGUAGAUGAGGAGAGAAUCCUAAGGUGAGCGAGAGAACUCUCGUUAAGGAACUCGGCAAAAUGACCCCGUAACUUCGGGAGAAGGGGUGCUCUAUUAGGGUGCAAGCCCGAGAGAGCCGCAGUGAAUAGGCCCAGGCGACUGUUUAGCAAAAACACAGGUCUCUGCAAAACCGUAAGGUGACGUAUAGGGGCUGACGCCUGCCCGGUGCUGGAAGGUUAAGAGGAGUGCUUAGCUUCGGCGAAGGUACGAAUUGAAGCCCCAGUAAACGGCGGCCGUAACUAUAACGGUCCUAAGGUAGCGAAAUUCCUUGUCGGGUAAGUUCCGACCCGCACGAAAGGCGCAACGAUCUGGGCACUGUCUCAACGAGAGACUCGGUGAAAUUAUAGUACCUGUGAAGAUGCAGGUUACCCGCGACAGGACGGAAAGACCCCGUGGAGCUUUACUGCAACCUGAUAUGGAAUGUUUGUACCGCUUGUACAGGAUAGGUAGGAGCCGAAGAGACGUGUGCGCUAGCAUACGAGGAGGCAAUGGUGGGAUACUACCCUGGCUGUAUGACCAUUCUAACCCGCCACGCUUAGCGCGUGGGGAGACAGUGUCAGGUGGGCAGUUUGACUGGGGCGGUCGCCUCCCAAAGAGUAACGGAGGCGCCCAAAGGUUUCCUCAGAAUGGAUGGAAAUCAUUCGCAGAGUGUAAAGGCACAAGGGAGCUUGACUGCGAGACUGACAAGUCGAGCAGGGACGAAAGUCGGGCUUAGUGAUCCGGUGGUUCCGCAUGGAAGGGCCAUCGCUCAACGGAUAAAAGCUACCCCGGGGAUAACAGGCUUAUCUCCCCCAAGAGUCCACAUCGACGGGGAGGUUUGGCACCUCGAUGUCGGCUCGUCGCAUCCUGGGGCUGUAGUCGGUCCCAAGGGUUGGGCUGUUCGCCCAUUAAAGCGGCACGCGAGCUGGGUUCAGAACGUCGUGAGACAGUUCGGUCCCUAUCCGUCGCGGGCGCAGGAAAUUUGAGAGGAGCUGUCCUUAGUACGAGAGGACCGGGAUGGACACACCGCUGGUGUACCAGUUGUUCCGCCAGGAGCAUCGCUGGGUAGCUAUGUGUGGCAGGGAUAAACGCUGAAAGCAUCUAAGCGUGAAGCCCCCCUCAAGAUGAGAUUUCCCAUUUCUUCGGAAAGUAAGAUCCCUGAAAGAUGAUCAGGUAGAUAGGUUUGGAGUGGAAGUGUAGCGAUACAUGGAGCGGACAAAUACUAAUCGAUCGAGGACUUAACCAA